AGCGUACACGGUGGAUGCCCUGGCAGUCAGAGGCGAUGAAGGACGUGCUAAUCUGCGAAAAGCGCCGGCGAGGUGAUAUGAACCUUUGACCCGGCGAUGUCCGAAUGGGGAAACCCAGUGCAAUCCGUUGCACUAUCGUUAACUGAAUACAUAGGUUAACGAGGCGAACCGGGGGAACUGAAACAUCUAAGUACCCCGAGGAAAAGAAAUCAACCGAGAUUCCCCCAGUAGCGGCGAGCGAACGGGGAGCAGCCCGGAGUCUGAAUCAGCUUGUGUGUUAGUGGAACGGUCUGGAAAGUCCGACGGUACAGGGUGAUAGUCCCGUACACGAAAAUGCACAUGCUGUGAACUCGAAGAGUAGGGCGGGACACGUGGUAUCCUGUCUGAAUAUGGGGGGACCAUCCUCCAAGGCUAAAUACUCCUGACUGACCGAUAGUGAACCAGUACCGUGAGGGAAAGGCGAAAAGAACCCCGGCGAGGGGAGUGAAAAAGAACCUGAAACCGUGUACGUACAAGCAGUGGGAGCCUCUUUAUGGGGUGACUGCGUACCUUUUGUAUAAUGGGUCAGCGACUUAUAUUCUGUAGCAAGGUUAACCGUAUAGGGGAGCCGAAGGGAAACCGAGUCUUAACUGGGCGUUAAGUUGCAGGGUAUAGACCCGAAACCCGGUGAUCUAGCCAUGGGCAGGUUGAAGGUUGGGUAACACUAACUGGAGGACCGAACCGACUAAUGUUGAAAAAUUAGCGGAUGACCUGUGGCUGGGGGUGAAAGGCCAAUCAAACCGGGAGAUAGCUGGUUCUCCCCGAAAGCUAUUUAGGUAGCGCCUCGUGAACUCAUCUUCGGGGGUAGAGCACUGUUUCGGCUAGGGGGCCAUCCCGGCUUACCAACCCGAUGCAAACUACGAAUACCGAAGAAUGUUAUCACGGGAGACACACGGCGGGUGCUAACGUCCGUCGUGAAGAGGGAAACAACCCAGACCGCCAGCUAAGGUCCCAAAGUCAUGGUUAAGUGGGAAACGAUGUGGGAAGGCACAGACAGCCAGGAUGUUGGCUUAGAAGCAGCCAUCAUUUAAAGAAAGCGUAAUAGCUCACUGGUCGAGUCGGCCUGCGCGGAAGAUGUAACGGGGCUAAACCAUGCACCGAAGCUGCGGCAGCGACACUUAUGUGUUGUUGGGUAGGGGAGCGUUCUGUAAGCCGUUGAAGGUGUGCUGUGAGGCAUGCUGGAGGUAUCAGAAGUGCGAAUGCUGACAUAAGUAACGAUAAAGCGGGUGAAAAGCCCGCUCGCCGGAAGACCAAGGGUUCCUGUCCAACGUUAAUCGGGGCAGGGUGAGUCGACCCCUAAGGCGAGGCCGAAAGGCGUAGUCGAUGGGAAACAGGUUAAUAUUCCUGUACUUGGUGUUACUGCGAAGGGGGGACGGAGAAGGCUAUGUCAGCCGGGCGACGGUUGUCCCGGUUUAAGCAUGUAGGCGGAGGUUCCAGGUAAAUCCGGUACCUUGUUAACGCUGAGGUGUGAUGACGAGGCACUACGGUGCUGAAGUGAUAAAUGCCCUGCUUCCAGGAAAAGCCUCUAAGCAUCAGGUAACACGAAAUCGUACCCCAAACCGACACAGGUGGUCAGGUAGAGAAUACCAAGGCGCUUGAGAGAACUCGGGUGAAGGAACUAGGCAAAAUGGUGCCGUAACUUCGGGAGAAGGCACGCUGAUGUGUAGGUGAAGCCCCUGCGGGUGGAGCUGAAAUCAGUCGAAGAUACCAGCUGGCUGCAACUGUUUAUUAAAAACACAGCACUGUGCAAACACGAAAGUGGACGUAUACGGUGUGACGCCUGCCCGGUGCCGGAAGGUUAAUUGAUGGGGUUAGCGGCAACGCGAAGCUCUUGAUCGAAGCCCCGGUAAACGGCGGCCGUAACUAUAACGGUCCUAAGGUAGCGAAAUUCCUUGUCGGGUAAGUUCCGACCUGCACGAAUGGCGUAAUGAUGGCCAGGCUGUCUCCACCCGAGACUCAGUGAAAUUGAACUCGCUGUGAAGAUGCAGUGUACCCGCGGCAAGACGGAAAGACCCCGUGAACCUUUACUAUAGCUUGACACUGAACACUGGUCCUUGAUGUGUAGGAUAGGUGGGAGGCUUUGAAGCGUGGACGCCAGUCUGCGUGGAGCCAACCUUGAAAUACCACCCUUUAAUGGCUGGUGUUCUAACGUGGACCCGUAAUCCGGGUUGCGGACAGUGUCUGGUGGGUAGUUUGACUGGGGCGGUCUCCUCCCAAAGAGUAACGGAGGAGCACGAAGGUUGGCUAAUCCUGGUCGGACAUCAGGAGGUUAGUGCAAUGGCAUAAGCCAGCUUGACUGCGAGCGUGACGGCGCGAGCAGGUGCGAAAGCAGGUCAUAGUGAUCCGGUGGUUCUGAAUGGAAGGGCCAUCGCUCAACGGAUAAAAGGUACUCCGGGGAUAACAGGCUGAUACCGCCCAAGAGUUCAUAUCGACGGCGGUGUUUGGCACCUCGAUGUCGGCUCAUCACAUCCUGGGGCUGAAGUAGGUCCCAAGG
Molecule: ribosomal RNA, 2533 nt
Filed under: human gut metagenome
Description: bacterial LSU rRNA
Rfam family: Bacterial large subunit ribosomal RNA
Source: RNAcentral